This 106-nucleotide small nuclear RNA is filed under the name Chinchilla lanigera (long-tailed chinchilla). The record is from RNAcentral. Lineage: Eukaryota; Metazoa; Chordata; Mammalia; Rodentia; Chinchillidae.
AUGUUACAGUGGCAACACAUAUACUAAAAUUGGAACGAUACAGAGAAGAUUAGCAUGGCCUCUGCGCAAGGAUGACACACAAAUUCGUGAAGCCUUCCAUAUUUUG